AUGGUUGUGCUUUAUCGAGAGUCACGGCCGUGCCUUUCGGAAACGAAAAAAAAACGCGUUUUCUGUUUUUUUUUCGCGAGAGUCACGGUUUUUGCUUCCGCGAGAGGCACGGUUGUGCUUUCGCGAGAGUCACGGCCGUGCCUCUCGGAAAGGGAAAAACAAAACGCGUUUUCUUUUUUUUUUCUUUCGCGAGAGUCACGGUUUUGCUUUCGCGGGAGGCACGGUUGUGCUUUCGCGAGAGUCACGCCCGUGCCUCUCGGAAACGAAAAAAAAACGCGUUUUCUGUUUUUUUUCUUCCACGAGAGUCACGGUUUUGCUUCCACGAAAGGCACGGUUGUGAUUUCGCGAGAGGCACGGGCGUGCCUCUUUCGGAAAGGGAAAAAACCGUGCUCCCGGUUCGGUUUUUUCGCCUGA
This 414-nucleotide ribosomal RNA is filed under the name Triticum aestivum (bread wheat). RNAcentral describes it as "partial small subunit ribosomal RNA". Lineage: Eukaryota; Viridiplantae; Streptophyta; Magnoliopsida; Poales; Poaceae. The record is from RNAcentral.